This 467-nucleotide ribosomal RNA is filed under the name uncultured bacterium. Its description in RNAcentral is "partial 16S ribosomal RNA". It matches the Rfam family "Bacterial small subunit ribosomal RNA", at positions 29 to 507 of the family's 1533-position model. The record is from RNAcentral.
ACGAACGCUGGCGGCGUGCUUAACACAUGCAAGUCGAACGGAAAGGCCCUGCUUUUGUGGGGUGCUCGAGUGGCGAACGGGUGAGUAACACGUGAGUAACCUGCCCUUGACUUUGGGAUAACUUCAGGAAACUGGGGCUAAUACCGGAUAGGAGCUCCUGCUGCAUGGUGGGGGUUGGAAAGUUUCGGCGGUUGGGGAUGGACUCGCGGCUUAUCAGCUUGUUGGUGGGGUAGUGGCUUACCAAGGCUUUGACGGGUAGCCGGCCUGAGAGGGUGACCGGCCACAUUGGGACUGAGAUACGGCCCAGACGCCGACGGGAGGCAGCAGUGGGGAAUGUGGCACAAUGGGCGGAAGCCGGAUGCAGCAACGCCGCGUGCGGGAUGACGGCCUUCGGGUUGUAAACCGCUUUCGCCUGUGACGAAGCGUGAGUGACGGUAAUGGGUAAAGAAGCACCGGCUAACUACGUG